GGUUAAGCGACUAAGCGUACACGGUGGAUGCCCUGGCAGUCAGAGGCGAUGAAGGACGUGCUAAUCUGCGAUAAGCGUCGGUAAGGUGAUAUGAACCGUUAUAACCGGCGAUUUCCGAAUGGGGAAACCCAGUGUGUUUCGACACACUAUCAUUAACUGAAUCCAUAGGUUAAUGAGGCGAACCGGGGGAACUGAAACAUCUAAGUACCCCGAGGAAAAGAAAUCAACCGAGAUUCCCCCAGUAGCGGCGAGCGAACGGGGAGGAGCCCAGAGCCUGAAUCAGUGUGUGUGUUAGUGGAAGCGUCUGGAAAGGCGCGCGAUACAGGGUGACAGCCCCGUACACAAAAAUGCACAUGCUGUGAGCUCGAUGAGUAGGGCGGGACACGUGGUAUCCUGUCUGAAUAUGGGGGGACCAUCCUCCAAGGCUAAAUACUCCUGACUGACCGAUAGUGAACCAGUACCGUGAGGGAAAGGCGAAAAGAACCCCGGCGAGGGGAGUGAAAAAGAACCUGAAACCGUGUACGUACAAGCAGUGGGAGCACGCUUAGGCGUGUGACUGCGUACCUUUUGUAUAAUGGGUCAGCGACUUAUAUUCUGUAGCAAGGUUAACCGAAUAGGGGAGCCGAAGGGAAACCGAGUCUUAACUGGGCGUUAAGUUGCAGGGUAUAGACCCGAAACCCGGUGAUCUAGCCAUGGGCAGGUUGAAGGUUGGGUAACACUAACUGGAGGACCGAACCGACUAAUGUUGAAAAAUUAGCGGAUGACUUGUGGCUGGGGGUGAAAGGCCAAUCAAACCGGGAGAUAGCUGGUUCUCCCCGAAAGCUAUUUAGGUAGCGCCUCGUGAAUUCAUCUCCGGGGGUAGAGCACUGUUUCGGCAAGGGGGUCAUCCCGACUUACCAACCCGAUGCAAACUGCGAAUACCGGAGAAUGUUAUCACGGGAGACACACGGCGGGUGCUAACGUCCGUCGUGAAGAGGGAAACAACCCAGACCGCCAGCUAAGGUCCCAAAGUCAUGGUUAAGUGGGAAACGAUGUGGGAAGGCCCAGACAGCCAGGAUGUUGGCUUAGAAGCAGCCAUCAUUUAAAGAAAGCGUAAUAGCUCACUGGUCGAGUCGGCCUGCGCGGAAGAUGUAACGGGGCUAAACCAUGCACCGAAGCUGCGGCAGCGACGCUUAUGCGUUGUUGGGUAGGGGAGCGUUCUGUAAGCCUGUGAAGGUGUGCUGUGAGGCAUGCUGGAGGUAUCAGAAGUGCGAAUGCUGACAUAAGUAACGAUAAAGCGGGUGAAAAGCCCGCUCGCCGGAAGACCAAGGGUUCCUGUCCAACGUUAAUCGGGGCAGGGUGAGUCGACCCCUAAGGCGAGGCCGAAAGGCGUAGUCGAUGGGAAACAGGUUAAUAUUCCUGUACUUGGUGUUACUGCGAAGGGGGGACGGAGAAGGCUAUGUUGGCCGGGCGACGGUUGUCCCGGUUUAAGCGUGUAGGCUGGUUUUCCAGGCAAAUCCGGAAAAUCAAGGCUGAGGCGUGAUGACGAGGCACUACGGUGCUGAAGCAACAAAUGCCCUGCUUCCAGGAAAAGCCUCUAAGCAUCAGGUAACAUCAAAUCGUACCCCAAACCGACACAGGUGGUCAGGUAGAGAAUACCAAGGCGCUUGAGAGAACUCGGGUGAAGGAACUAGGCAAAAUGGUGCCGUAACUUCGGGAGAAGGCACGCUGAUAUGUAGGUGAAGCGACUUGCUCGUGGAGCUGAAAUCAGUCGAAGAUACCAGCUGGCUGCAACUGUUUAUUAAAAACACAGCACUGUGCAAACACGAAAGUGGACGUAUACGGUGUGACGCCUGCCCGGUGCCGGAAGGUUAAUUGAUGGGGUCAGCGCAAGCGAAGCUCUUGAUCGAAGCCCCGGUAAACGGCGGCCGUAACUAUAACGGUCCUAAGGUAGCGAAAUUCCUUGUCGGGUAAGUUCCGACCUGCACGAAUGGCGUAAUGAUGGCCAGGCUGUCUCCACCCGAGACUCAGUGAAAUUGAACUCGCUGUGAAGAUGCAGUGUACCCGCGGCAAGACGGAAAGACCCCGUGAACCUUUACUAUAGCUUGACACUGAACAUUGAGCCUUGAUGUGUAGGAUAGGUGGGAGGCUUAGAAGUGUGGACGCCAGUCUGCAUGGAGCCGACCUUGAAAUACCACCCUUUAAUGUUUGAUGUUCUAACGUUGACCCGUAAUCCGGGUUGCGGACAGUGUCUGGUGGGUAGUUUGACUGGGGCGGUCUCCUCCUAAAGAGUAACGGAGGAGCACGAAGGUUGGCUAAUCCUGGUCGGACAUCAGGAGGUUAGUGCAAUGGCAUAAGCCAGCUUGACUGCGAGCGUGACGGCGCGAGCAGGUGCGAAAGCAGGUCAUAGUGAUCCGGUGGUUCUGAAUGGAAGGGCCAUCGCUCAACGGAUAAAAGGUACUCCGGGGAUAACAGGCUGAUACCGCCCAAGAGUUCAUAUCGACGGCGGUGUUUGGCACCUCGAUGUCGGCUCAUCACAUCCUGGGGCUGAAGUAGGUCCCAAGGGUAUGGCUGUUCGCCAUUUAAAGUGGUACGCGAGCUGGGUUUAGAACGUCGUGAGACAGUUCGGUCCCUAUCUGCCGUGGGCGCUGGAGAACUGAGGGGGGCUGCUCCUAGUACGAGAGGACCGGAGUGGACGCAUCACUGGUGUUCGGGUUGUCAUGCCAAUGGCACUGCCCGGUAGCUAAAUGCGGAAGAGAUAAGUGCUGAAAGCAUCUAAGCACGAAACUUGCCCCGAGAUGAGUUCUCCCUGACCCUUUAAGGGUCCUGAAGGAACGUUGAAGACGACGACGUUGAUAGGCCGGGUGUGUAAGCGCAGCGAUGCGUUGAGCUAACCGGUACUAAUGAACCGUGAGGCUUAACCUU
This 2904-nucleotide ribosomal RNA is filed under the name Escherichia coli. RNAcentral describes it as "23S ribosomal RNA". It matches the Rfam family "Bacterial large subunit ribosomal RNA". The record is from RNAcentral. RNAcentral also lists the same sequence under 1 other name. Lineage: Bacteria; Pseudomonadati; Pseudomonadota; Gammaproteobacteria; Enterobacterales; Enterobacteriaceae.